UUACAAGUGCGAUGUGGGGACGGAGAAGGUUAGCUCAGCCAACUGUUGGAUAUGUUGGUUCAAGCCUGUAGUCAUGCCCGGUAGGCAAAUCCGCCGGGCUUAGAUGAGGGGUGAUAAGGAGUCUGCUUGCAGACGAACUGAGUGAUACCCUGCUUCCAGGAAAAGCCACUAAGCUUCAGCUUGUAACGACCGUACCGCAAACCGACACUGGUGCGCGAGAUGAGUAUUCUAAUGCGCUUGAGAGAACUCUGGAGAAGGAACUCGGCAAAUUGAUACCGUAACUUCGGGAGAAGGUAUGCCCCUAGUAGGUGAACUCGAACAGAGGGAGCCCAAUGGGGUUGCAAAAAAUCGGUGGCUGCGACUGUUUAAUAAAAACACAGCACUCUGCAAACACGAAAGUGGACGUAUAGGGUGUGACGCCUGCCCGGUGCUGGAAGAUUAAAUGAUGGGGUGCAAGCUCUUGAUUGAAGUCCCAGUAAACGGCGGCCGUAACUAUAACGGUCCUAAGGUAGCGAAAUUCCUUGUCGGGUAAGUUCCGACCUGCACGAAUGGCGUAACGAUGGCCACACUGUCUCCUCCAGAGACUCAGCGAAGUUGAAAUGUUUGUGAUGAUGCAAUCUCCCCGCGGAAAGACGGAAAGACCCCAUGAACCUUUACUGUAGCUUUGUAUUGGACUUUGAACAGAUCUGUGUAGGAUAGGUGGGAGGCUUUGAAGCCGGAACGCUAGUUUCGGUGGAGCCAACGUUGAAAUACCACCCUGGUGUGUUUGAGGUUCUAACCUAGGUCCAUUAUCUGGAUCGGGGACAGUGCAUGGUAGGCAGUUUGACUGGGGCGGUCUCCUCCCAAAGUGUAACGGAGGAGUUCGAAGGUACGCUAGGUACGGUCGGACAUCGUGCUAAUAGUGCAAUGGCAUAAGCGUGCUUAACUGCGAGACUGACAAGUCGAGCAGAUGCGAAAGCAGGACAUAGUGAUCCGGUGGUUCUGUAAGGAAGGGCCAUCGCUCAACGGAUAAAAGGUACUCUGGGGAUAACAGGCUGAUACCGCCCAAGAGUUCAUAUCGACGGCGGUGUUUGGCACCUCGAUGUCGGCUCAUCUCAUCCUGGGGCUGUAGCCGGUCCCAAGGGUAUGGCUGUUCGCCAUUUAAAGAGGUACGUGAGCUGGGUUUAAAACGUCGUGAGACAGUUUGGUCCCUAUCUUCCGUGGGCGCUGCAGAUUUGAGGAAGCCUGCUCCUAGUACGAGAGGACCGGAGUGGACACACCUCUGGUGUAUCGGUUGUCACGCCAGUGGCAUUGCCGAGUAGCUAAGUGUGGAAGAGAUAACCGCUGAAAGCAUCUAAGCGGGAAACUCGUUUCAAGAUGAGAUCUGCCGGGGCCUUGAGCCCCCUAAAGAGUCGUUCAAGACCAGGACGUUGAUAGGUCAGGUGUGGAAGCGCAGUAAUGCGUUAAGCUAACUGAUUCUAAUUGCUCGUGCGGCUUGACCAA
This 1482-nucleotide ribosomal RNA is filed under the name metagenome. RNAcentral describes it as "bacterial LSU rRNA". It matches the Rfam family "Bacterial large subunit ribosomal RNA", at positions 1447 to 2925 of the family's 2925-position model. The record is from RNAcentral.